ACAUCAUAAUGGUUCUUUUGCCAACAGGAGCUGGUAAUCAGGAUGGCAGUGAGGCAGGCACUUGCUUGCAGAAGAACAGGCCUAGUUUUUUAAGAAGCCACAAAAGUGUCUUUGGAUGAUUAGGAUCUAAGGGGCCAACAGCUUUGCAAUAACAGCAUAAAUAUUGUGGGCUGGAUGGACAGGCACCAAAUGGGGACAUUCCAUCCUGCUGUGUGAUGAGAAAGCUGCCACUUUUGAGGCCUUCCAAAACAAAUCAACACUCCAUAUGCCAGAAGGAAAAGCCCAGGAAAGACCUAUUCCAACUGGAGAUGGUGAAUGUCAUUUCUUCAAGAAGCUGAGAUCCAGCUGGAAUACGAAGGGAGAAUGAAACAAAACUGCUCCGCUUAGGGAACUUGGAAAGGAAAUUGAAAAGGCAAGGCACAGGCUGGAAGAAAAUAUUUGAAAAAGAUUUAUGUGAACUUCUUUCUGGAUUAUACAAAAUAUUUUUAGAUAUUCUUACAACUCUAAAAUAAGAUAACUCCUUAAAAAUCUAAAUUCUACCAAAGGAGAGAUAAAGAUGACGAAUACAUUCAAAGAUGCUGAAAAUCACUUAUUUAUUAUUAGGAAGUUACAAGCUAAAGCAUAAUGAGAUACCACUACAACCUACUAAACUGACUAAAAUUAAUCAGACUAACCAGGUGUUGGCAAGAAACAGGG
This 696-nucleotide long non-coding RNA is filed under the name Homo sapiens (human). RNAcentral describes it as "DAB1 antisense RNA 1". Lineage: Eukaryota; Metazoa; Chordata; Mammalia; Primates; Hominidae. The record is from RNAcentral.